UGAGAAUGAAUCGAUGGGGUCUAAGUUACUAUCACAAAAGGGUUUAGAGGUGGAGGUAAAGAAGGUAAGGAAGUAAUUACAGGAGAGAGCUACAGCGGAUGCGAUUGCAAGUACGGUAAUGAGACGCAAGAACUCGCCUUUUGAAGGGAAUAAGCUUUGGGGUGGUUCGAGUAUGGAGUUCAGUGAAGAAUUUUUUGAAUAUGAAUUAUGCUUGGAUUUUGGAAUCUUUUUGGGUGUUGAAGGCAUUUUCUUUUUUUCUUUUUCUGAAGGUUAG
Molecule: long non-coding RNA, 274 nt
Filed under: Gossypium raimondii (Peruvian cotton)
Lineage: Eukaryota; Viridiplantae; Streptophyta; Magnoliopsida; Malvales; Malvaceae
Description: long non-coding RNA (GRAI_LNC010441)
Source: RNAcentral